AGCUCAGUUGUUAGUAAGCGAAGCUCGUCGCAGACAGCAUCUGACUGUUAAUCAGAGGGUCCAAGGUUCGAGUCCUUGAGGGG
This 83-nucleotide transfer RNA is filed under the name bacterium. RNAcentral describes it as "tRNA-Asn". The stretch from base 22 to 78 matches the Rfam family "tRNA", at positions 9 to 63 of the family's 71-position model. From Rfam's summary of the family: Transfer RNA (tRNA) molecules are approximately 80 nucleotides in length. Their secondary structure includes four short double-helical elements and three loops (D, anti-codon, and T loops). Further hydrogen bonds mediate the characteristic L-shaped molecular structure. tRNAs have two regions of fundamental functional importance: the anti-codon, which is responsible for specific mRNA codon recognition, and the 3' end, to which the tRNAs corresponding amino acid is attached (by aminoacyl-tRNA synthetases). tRNAs cope with the degeneracy of the genetic code in two manners: having more than one tRNA (with a specific anti-codon) for a particular amino acid; and 'wobble' base-pairing, i.e. permitting non-standard base-pairing at the 3rd anti-codon position. RNAcentral also lists the same sequence under 1 other name. The record is from RNAcentral.